UUCAGGGGUAAAAUUUCGAUAGAUCGUACUCGUUUAAACCUUUUACAAUUGUUUGAGCUGCCAACAUAUGACACAAAAUAAAUCAAAGGGUAAAUUUAGGAGUCGAAUCCCUUUUGUGAACUAUAUUUUUGAAGUGCAGUGUCCAUCAGCGCUUCUUCGUGGCCUAUUGGAGAUGGAGUGGCGAUAGAGUGAGAGGAACUCCUCCUAGAUGGCCCCGCGAUAGUCCAUUCAGCUGGUAAUCACAGGCUCUCGAGUUACCAGUCGCCAUUUAAGGUGUGACCGGGCUAGGAUGGAACAUGAAUCGACAUCUACUUCGACUUCGACUCCGACUCCGACUUCAACCGGUAGCCCAGGUCCCUCCAUUGGCCUCAACCUCUACACGUUUACGCAUCACUGCCUCUUCUUCGAGUCGGGCAUUGUGGAAAUUGAUUUCAGAUUUUUAUUGUUUUAGAGCGCUUCAUAUCUCACGUCAUCUCAGCGACUGGACGACGCUUAUUGAUACAGCCAUUGGCCAGUAAUAGAGUUGUUAUUGCACUUUAAUUGAAGUUAUGUUUAAGGCGCCGUCGCCACUCCUCGACACCUGGCAGCAAGUCUGGGUAAUAAAGAGCAUAUAUUUUUAAUUAAC
Drosophila biarmipes is the source of this 625-nucleotide long non-coding RNA. RefSeq lists it as uncharacterized. NCBI's taxonomy places the organism in Eukaryota, Metazoa, Arthropoda, Insecta, Diptera, Drosophilidae. The transcript is spliced from 2 exons. The record is from RefSeq and is a predicted model, not a curated record.